AUGGCUUUGUCCCCCGGCGCAUGGCCGGCGAUCACUGCAAUCUUGCUGGUGCACGGCCUGUUCGCCGCCUUCCCGGCGGUGUCGGUCGACAUGGGCGACAUGCUGAUGAUGGACAGGUUCCGCGAGUGGCAAGUCACGCACAACCGGACGUACCUGAGCACGGAGGAGAGGGUGCAUCGCUUUCAGGUGUACCGCGACAACGUGGAGUACAUCGAUGCCACCAACCGGCGUGGUGACCUCACCUACGAGCUCGGCGAGAACGAGUUCCUGGCUAGGUACGCGUCGUCCUACGAAGCUGCCAGCGAUGAUACGGGCAUUACUUUGCCUGUGGGCGGCGGCGACGCCGAGCUGUGGUCAUCCGGCGUCAACGAUGGUAGCUCCUUGGAGGCUCCGCCUCCCAGCUGGGACUGGAGAUCCAAGGGCGCCGUCACACCGGUCAAGUCCCAAGGCGCAGGAUGCGCUAGCUGCUGGGCGUUCGUGACGGUUGCUACGAUCGAGACUCUGAACUGGAUCAGGACGGGGAAGCUGAUGCCUCUCUCGGAGCAGCAGCUGGUGGACUGUGACCAGUACGACGGCGGGUGCAACCGCGGGUCCUUCCACAGGGCCUACAAUUGGAUUGUGGAGAAUGGCGGCCUCACCACGGCAGCGGAGUACCCGUACACGGCGGCGAGGGGCGCCUGCAACCGCGCCAAGUCCGCCCAUCACGUCGUCAAGAUCCUCGGAGGCGGCGUGAUCCCGCCUAGGAACGAGCCCGAAAUGCAGGUCGCCGUCGCCGGGCAGCCCAUCGGUGUGGCCAUCGAGGUCGGCAGCGGCAUGCAGUUCUACAAGGGCGGCGUCUACUCGGGCCCCUGCGGGACAAAUCUUGCUCACGCCGUCACCAUCGUCGGUUACGGCGUCGACGCCCCUACUGGGGCCAAGUACUGGCUCGUCAAGAACUCAUGGGGGCAGACAUGGGGUGAGAGCGGCUACAUCCGCAUGCGUCGCGACGUCGGCGGCCCGGGGCUCUGCGGCAUCGCGCUCGACGUUGUCUACCCAAAAAUGGCGAAAGCGUGA
RNAcentral lists this ribosomal RNA (1053 nucleotides) under Triticum aestivum (bread wheat). RNAcentral's name for it is "partial small subunit ribosomal RNA". The record is from RNAcentral. Lineage: Eukaryota; Viridiplantae; Streptophyta; Magnoliopsida; Poales; Poaceae.